UCUGAACUUGUUGAUCUGCAGGCCGGAACAAGUGGCUCCCAACGUGGGGCUCCUGGCACGGAGAAGUUAACGAGGGAGCCGUUCGAGAGACAGCCGGCUUAAACCGAAAGUGAAAGCAAAUUGAACCAGAGACCUCGGCCGAGGAAUGAGUAAACUAAAUCAAGGAUUAAAGCUUAAAGCAACAGGACAUUAAAUCAAGUGCCGAGACCUGCGCAGACGACUACCCGACGUCCUGCCCGAGUCACGGUGACACAUCUCCUUGGAGCCUUAUGCUGCUUAACCAGCCUUCUUGAGCCACACCACACCCAUGGUGGAUUUUGACCCCUGCCAAACAGACUGCAACUGCUGACAGCCAUGCACAGAACCCCAUGACUGCGGAAGAGGCUCUUCUCGGUCUGGAGGAACAUACGCCAGCCAAAUAGACUGCAUCCAGUGUUAUUCAAGGCAUGCUCCAAGACACAGAAGAAUGACUUCAUACAGAGACACCAACAAAUGGCUGUCAACCCCUUCUCCUUGAUUUGGGGGGGGGGGAGUUUUUCCCUUACCUAAUGCCCCUUUUGGGUCCCCUAGCUGACCUAUUGUUUCUCAUUUCUGUGAGUCUUGUAUUUUUCAGAGGAUUAUGAUGUUCAUUAAUAACCGGAUAGACGCAUUUAUGGCAAA
Molecule: long non-coding RNA, 660 nt
Organism: Cavia porcellus (domestic guinea pig)
Lineage: Eukaryota; Metazoa; Chordata; Mammalia; Rodentia; Caviidae
Exons: 2
Source: RefSeq, a predicted model, not a curated record